The sequence is a ribosomal RNA, 295 nucleotides long. It matches the Rfam family "Bacterial small subunit ribosomal RNA", at positions 406 to 693 of the family's 1533-position model.
UGAAGAAGGUUUUCGGAUCGUAAAGCUCUGUUGUAAGAGAAGAACGAGUGUGAGAGUGGAAAGUUCACACUGUGACGGUAUCUUACCAGAAAGGGACGGCUAACUACGUGCCAGCAGCCGCGGUAAUACGUAGGUCCCGAGCGUUGUCCGGAUUUAUUGGGCGUAAAGCGAGCGCAGGCGGUUAGAUAAGUCUGAAGUUAAAGGCUGUGGCUUAACCAUAGUAGGCUUUGGAAACUGUUUAACUUGAGUGCAAGAGGGGAGAGUGGAAUUCCAUGUGUAGCGGUGAAAUGCGUAG